CUAAUCUGCGAUAAGCGCCGGUAAGGUGAUAUGAACCGUUAUAACCGGCGAUACCCGAAUGGGGAAACCCAGUGUGACUCGUCACACUAUCAUUAACUGAAUCCAUAGGUUAAUGAGGCGAACCGGGGGAACUGAAACAUCUAAGUACCCCGAGGAAAAGAAAUCAACCGAGAUUCCCCCAGUAGCGGCGAGCGAACGGGGAGGAGCCCAGAGCCUGAAUCAGCAUGUGUGUUAGUGGAAGCGUCUGGAAAGGCGCGCGAUACAGGGUGACAGCCCCGUACACAAAAGCGCAUGUGCUGUGAGCUCGAUGAGUAGGGCGGGACACGUGGUAUCCUGUCUGAAUAUGGGGGGACCAUCCUCCAAGGCUAAAUACUCCUGACUGACCGAUAGUGAACCAGUACCGUGAGGGAAAGGCGAAAAGAACCCCGGCGAGGGGAGUGAAAAAGAACCUGAAACCGUGUACGUACAAGCAGUGGGAGCCCCACCACCAAAGCAUUUGCUGUACCGCGUUGACGGAGCGAAGCGACGUCAAACCGAUAAAACAGCAGUGUAAAGUGAGCCGCAGGGCGCUUUGCGCGACAGCGCAAAGGCAGGCGGUUUCGCGUAGCGAAAGCGAAUGCUUUGGGGUGG
This 630-nucleotide ribosomal RNA is filed under the name Salmonella enterica subsp. enterica serovar Enteritidis. Its description in RNAcentral is "partial 23S ribosomal RNA". The stretch from base 1 to 465 matches the Rfam family "Bacterial large subunit ribosomal RNA", at positions 61 to 565 of the family's 2925-position model. The record is from RNAcentral. Lineage: Bacteria; Pseudomonadati; Pseudomonadota; Gammaproteobacteria; Enterobacterales; Enterobacteriaceae.